GUCAAUCAGAUUCCAGAAUACGUUGAGAAGUUGGGAUCUAGUUUGAGUUCUUCGACUUUAUUCCCAAAUGCUGUUGGACUCGGAGCAUUGAUGAUUUCCAUGAUCAUAGAUAUUUCCAUGAAGAGCCACGUUGCAACUUCUGAUGAUUCAUACAGCAAGUUCCUGCAGGCAUUUGGUGAAGAGAAGGCCUCAGCAGUCCGGGACACUGUGUCGGAAAACUCCCUGCUGCUUGACGGACAGAUGAGGAGCCGUGGGUUGAAGAUCUGGGUGAACGGAGCCUCCUUCCACGUCCAGAUGUUGAUCCAUGAGGCUCGACUGAAUCAGAAGACUGGCAUCAGUUCGAAGGACUAUGUUCAUGUCAUCCAAGCUGCCCUCACUACGUAUCUACAGGACCUGGAUCAGCUGCUGGAGAAACACAGGAAGGACUUCGCCGGUCAUACUGCUGUCGGUCAUGAAAUGAAUUGCGGUGGUGACAAUAGUUGUCUUUCUGGACCGAUGUCCGUAUGUUCUUUACAAAACCUUAACCUUACGUGUUUACUUCAACUACAACCAGCUGGAAAAGAC
Long non-coding RNA from Gasterosteus aculeatus aculeatus (three-spined stickleback), 564 nucleotides. The record is from Ensembl. Lineage: Eukaryota; Metazoa; Chordata; Actinopteri; Perciformes; Gasterosteidae.